Non-coding RNA from Penaeus vannamei (Pacific white shrimp), 481 nucleotides. Lineage: Eukaryota; Metazoa; Arthropoda; Malacostraca; Decapoda; Penaeidae. The record is from RefSeq and is a predicted model, not a curated record.
AUUCAGUCACUCAAGCGACCACAACAAACGACGGAGAACCAGCGUGGUCUGCAAAUAUUUCAUCACUUUUCGAUAUCAGCUUUAUUUUCUCUCAAAAUGCCUCAGGGAUUUUCCAAGAAGAAGAAGGGACCUGAAGUGCCUGCCGCGCAUAAAAAGGGCAAGAGACAACAGCCCUUAAAAGCCAAGAGAGGAAUUCGCACCAUUGCCCCCAAAAAGACAAAGGCUGUUGAAGCUAAGCUUGUCCAGAAGCAGUUGCAAAAGGCUAUUAAUGCAAAUAUUGAGCAGGAAAUGCAACAACGAGCAUCGAAGGCUCCUCAGAACUUCAAGCUUCUCAAGAAAGUGAAGCCAGAAGAGGGGGCAGAAAAGAAGUAGGGAUAAGGGGCUUUAGGUUUAUCAGUUCUUGUUAUACUUUAUAGAAAAAAUAAAUAUAAUUGUAUUUUCAUAAAAAUGACUACAGUUCAUUAAAGAGUUAAAAAAUAUA